CUCUGGUGGAAGCAGGAUUGAAGUAACUGGACUUCAAGCCUUCUCAUUUCAGGUGUUUUUGUUAAAGGCCAGUGAGUUUGUCCACAAGCCUCUUCCCAUGCAGCAGCAGUGCAGUAUUGCUGUGAGCUGAGUCACCCCACUUCAGGCGGGCGCUGGUUUCCUUUUGGUAAUGUGCAAAAUGUUCCCUGAGCACAUGUGUAUGUUCUAAGUUUGUGCUGCUGGUUGACAGUUUGUAGGCGCUUCGGUGCCAGAACCGUCUCUAAACACAGACAAGCACCUAUUGUGACGAGGCCCUGGGCUGGGGCCGUCAGGCAGCACUGCAAGGAAAGCAAUUAAUAGAACAAGAGGAUUGCAGUUAAGGUGGUUAUCGGGGGGGGAUUUAGCUGGUUGUGAUGGAGUUGGAGAGAAACAAUAUUUUGGAAGUAGAAGGGGAAAAAAAAGUUUGAACUCUUAGGGAGGAAGGCACCUGCUAAUGAACCCAACCUUCGUUGCAGCCUUCCCAGGUAGAAGCUAUCCCUGCAGACAUGGGUUGAACUGAAGAGUUUUGCAUGACCUGAGUUGCUGGGGAGGCGAGAGAGGGAGGGACGGAGGGGCCUAGCAUGCCUGUGAGCUGGAGCAAUUGGGCAAGGUGGAAAGAAAAGCAAUUAAACACACUUGGACUUGCUCGCAGAUGGGAGGGGUACUUUGUUUUUUACUGCUGCCCCAGGGCCCCAAAAUGCAUUGGCACGGAACUGCAGAGAAACCACUAAUCCCAGUCACCGAGGGGAGAGAGCAGGACUUUCUCGUUCUGUCCUGCAUGCCGAGCAUCGGGACCCCCAUGGCAGGAAGGCUGAUGGGAUUAGAGGAAACAGCUGGCUCGAGUCUCACCCUGCAGGAGCUCACAUUCCCGGGACUCGGGAAGAGAGGAGCUCCCCGCUGCUGAGUCGCAUUCCAGGUUUGUUUAGGAACUGCGUGAUGAGUUGCCCCAUUUGGCAAGAUAAGACGACUCCUGAAGAGCCCACUUAAUCCCAGGGAGCUGCACUACCACGUCGUACGUACCCUUCUGUGAAUGAGAGGUGGAGUGAACUGAGCAUGGUGGGGUGGGUUCAGCGCAGUCCAUGGCAAACCCAGCCUGGAGCUG
RNAcentral lists this long non-coding RNA (1120 nucleotides) under Gallus gallus (chicken). RNAcentral's name for it is "lncRNA (ENSGALG00010022014.1)". The record is from RNAcentral. Lineage: Eukaryota; Metazoa; Chordata; Aves; Galliformes; Phasianidae.